GUUCCUCCUCCCCUUUUUUAACUCAAAUUGCACUCUCUGGUAUUCCGGAGAGUAUGCCUGUUUGAGGAUCAUUUUAAAUACAAAACGGUGUGUUUGCUGCCUUUCGUUGUUACGCACCUGAUGUGGGUCGUCUUGCCUUCGUUUAAGUGACCUAAAAUUUUGCAUGAUUUUUUUCGAACGUAUUUAAAUGAUUUUACGUACUUUUGCGAUAUCGCAUACUAUGUGUGUUCAUCCUCAUGAUUCUCGCCUAUAAUUUCGCAUCAAAAUAACCUCAAAUCAGGUAACC
Molecule: unclassified non-coding RNA, 286 nt
Filed under: Glomus sp.
Lineage: Eukaryota; Fungi; Glomeromycota; Glomeromycetes; Glomerales; Glomeraceae
Description: partial contains 5.8S ribosomal RNA and internal transcribed spacer 2
Source: RNAcentral